CUCACCGAAGUUAAGCAUCAUUGGGCGCGGUCAGUACUUGGGUGGGUGACCACCUGGGAACACUGCGUGCCGUU
Non-coding RNA from Caerostris darwini, 74 nucleotides. NCBI's taxonomy places the organism in Eukaryota, Metazoa, Arthropoda, Arachnida, Araneae, Araneidae. The record is from the annotation of a GenBank genome assembly.